CUUCAAAAUUAAUGUAUUUUAGUCUCUGAGCACUAAUUCUACUAUAAAUGGAAGUGAAUGAUACAUAAUUUUGCACUUGAAUUGAGGCCCUCAGUUAGUUGAAUGAGUAAAGAACUUGUCCAUUAGACCUAUCAAGACAAUUUUAGAUUAGUUCAUUUAACAAUGUUAGUCCUUAUAAAUGAACUUACGUACACUUAAAAGCUG
Molecule: unclassified non-coding RNA, 204 nt
Filed under: Hevea brasiliensis (rubber tree)
Lineage: Eukaryota; Viridiplantae; Streptophyta; Magnoliopsida; Malpighiales; Euphorbiaceae
Source: RNAcentral